GUGAAUCAUCAAAUUUUUGAACGCAAAUUGCACUCUCUGGUAUUCCGGAGAGUAUGCCUGUUUGAGGGUCAGUUUAAAUAAAAAUCGGUGUGGUUGCUGCCUUUCGUGGUGACGCACCGGAUAUGUGUCGUCUUGCCUUCGGUUAAGUGACCUAAAAUUUUGCAUGAUUUUUUUUGAUUGUAUUAAAUUUAUUUUACGUUUAUUG
This 205-nucleotide unclassified non-coding RNA is filed under the name Glomeraceae sp. RNAcentral's name for it is "partial contains 5.8S ribosomal RNA and internal transcribed spacer 2". The stretch from base 1 to 71 matches the Rfam family "5.8S ribosomal RNA", at positions 84 to 154 of the family's 154-position model. Lineage: Eukaryota; Fungi; Glomeromycota; Glomeromycetes; Glomerales; Glomeraceae. The record is from RNAcentral.